GACGAACGCUGGCGGCGUGCUUAACACAUGCAAGUCGAACGAUGAAGCCGGAGCUUGCUCUGGUGAAUUAGUGGCGAACGGGUGAGUAACACGUGAGUAACCUGCCCUUGACUCUGGGAUAACUGCGGGAAACUGUAGCUAAUGCCGGAUACGACCCUCGGAGGCAUCUCCUGGGGGUGGAAAGAAUUUCGGUCAAGGAUGGACUCGCGGCCUAUCAGCUAGUUGGUGAGGUAACGGCUCACCAAGGCGACGACGGGUAGCCGGCCUGAGAGGGUGGCCGGCCACACUGGGACUGAGACACGGCCCAGACUCCUACGGGAGGCAGCAGUGGGGAAUAUUGCACAAUGGGCGCAAGCCUGAUGCAGCAACGCCGCGUGAGGGAUGACGGCCUUCGGGUUGUAAACCUCUUUUAGCAGGGAAGAAGCGAAAGUGACGGUACCUGCAGAAAAAGCACCGGCUAACUACGCGCCAGCCGCCGCCGUAA
RNAcentral lists this ribosomal RNA (484 nucleotides) under uncultured bacterium. RNAcentral's name for it is "partial 16S ribosomal RNA". It matches the Rfam family "Bacterial small subunit ribosomal RNA", at positions 28 to 523 of the family's 1533-position model. The record is from RNAcentral.